Molecule: unclassified non-coding RNA, 276 nt
Filed under: uncultured Glomus
Lineage: Eukaryota; Fungi; Glomeromycota; Glomeromycetes; Glomerales; Glomeraceae
Description: sequence contains 18S rRNA gene
Rfam family: Eukaryotic small subunit ribosomal RNA
Source: RNAcentral
AGCAGCCGCGGUAAUUCCAGCUCCAAUAGCGUAUAUUAAAGUUGUUGCAGUUAAAAGCUCGUAGUUGAACCUUAGGCCCGUGCGGGUGGUCCGUCCUCAGGGCGAGCACUGCUCCGUCGCGGGUCUCACCUUCUGGCGAGCGUGGAUGCCAUUUAUUUGGUGUCCGCGGGAACCAGGACCUUUACCUUGAAAAAUUAGAGUGCUCAAAGCGGGCUCCGACGCUUGAAUACAUUAGCAUGGAAUAAUGAAAUAGGACGAAGGUUCUAUUUGUUGGUU